Molecule: ribosomal RNA, 433 nt
Filed under: uncultured bacterium
Lineage: Bacteria
Description: partial 16S ribosomal RNA
Rfam family: Bacterial small subunit ribosomal RNA
Source: RNAcentral
AACGAACGCUGGCGGCAUGCCUAACACAUGCAAGUCGAACGAAACCUUCGGGUCUAGUGGCGCACGGGUGCGUAACGCGUGGGAACCUGCCCUUAGGUUCGGCAUACCUCCCCGAAAGGGGUGCUAAUACCGGAUAAUGUCUUCGGACCAAAGAUUUAUCGCCUUUGGAUGGGCCCGCGUUGGAUUAGCUAGUUGGUAGGGUAAAAGCCUACCAAGGCGACGAUCCAUAGCUGGUCUGAGAGGAUGAUCAGCCACACUGGGACUGAGACACGGCCCAGACUCCUACGGGAGGCAGCAGUGGGGAAUAUUGGACAAUGGGCGAAAGCCUGAUCCAGCAAUGCCGCGUGAGUGAUGAAGGCCUUAGGGUUGUAAAGCUCUUGUACCCGGGAUGAUAAUGACAGUACCGGGAGAAUAAGCUCCGGCUAACUCCGUG